This is a long non-coding RNA of Haliotis rubra (blacklip abalone), 773 nucleotides long. RefSeq lists it as uncharacterized. The record is from RefSeq and is a predicted model, not a curated record. NCBI's taxonomy places the organism in Eukaryota, Metazoa, Mollusca, Gastropoda, Lepetellida, Haliotidae. The transcript has 2 exons.
CCUGUAGCAUGAUGUACAGUUCCUGUAGCCAUGGGUUGUCUCCCUUGGCUCACUGCCGAUCAUGUAGACCAUCUGGUCCAUGUUGAGCACUAUUCCAGGUGUAUGACUUGGUCCUAUACAUUCUAUCCUUAUGGUCUCUCCAUCCAUAUUUCUUAGUAAUUACAAACUCUAGAUAGAAAUAACUUCAAAAUUGCGUUCGUCUUGUGGAAAUAUUGUCUCCAUAAACAACCAUACUGACUUCAUAAAGAUUACAACAGAACAACUGCUUAUGUCCGUGAUGGGAGAUGAGCUUGGGACUUUUGGCAAGAUGGUCAGUUGUUGAUAUCACGUGGAGAAGAUUCAAUACAGUCACCAGCUGUAUCGACAGCAUCAGGUAGACUGGUCAUCAGUAAAUAGCAGAGGAACCCUAAAGUUCUGUGGUUUUAUCUUAGGGUCCACCGCCUGGCCCUCGAACUCGGAGGAUAUGCUCUCAUAAACAGACUGCCCCAUCGAGCUAUUGUGCUGUGUGUCAUUUAUUCAUCGUAUUGUGUAUCAUAAACCCAUUGUUCUGUGUAUCACACAUCAGUUGUCUUUGUGUAUCAUACAUCAGUUGUCUUUGUGUAUCAUACAUCCAUUGUGCUGUGUAUCAUACAUCCGUUAUCCUGUGUAACAUACAUCCGGUUGUUUUGUACAUGAUUGUAUAUGCUUCUUCCAUUGUAUAUUUUAUCUCGAUAUUGAUGUUUAUCAUUAUAAAGUCUCAUGACAUGAGCGGCAUUAAAUGUGAUUAAAACUAA